AUAAAGUUUAAUUCUGGCUUAAAGAUUUAUUUAANUUUUUUUUUACAUGUAAAUUUUUGUGAGUAUUUUAAUUGAAUUUUAAUAAUUUUUUUAAAAUAUUUUUUAUUCGCAGUAUAUAUUUUUAAUAAUUUAAGAAAUUAAGAAUUAUAAAUAAAUUUUAAUAUUGACAAAUUUUGUGCCAGCAGUUGCGGUUAUACAAAGAAUAUAAAUAAAUUUUAUUAGUAAAUAAUUAUAUGAUAUAUUUAAAUUUAGAAUUAGAUUAUAUUUAUUAGGUGAAAUUUUAAAUAUAAAAUUAAUUUUGUUAAAAAUUUUUAUUAUUAUGAAAUUUAUUUUUAAACUAGGAUUAGAUACCCUAUUAUUUUAAAUGUAAAAUAAAUAUACUAAAGUAGUAUUAGUUAUGUUCUUGAAAUUUAAAGAUUUUGGCGGUAUUUUAGUCUAUUUAGAGGAGCCUGUUCUAUAAUUGAUAAUCCACGAUUAAUUUUACUUAAUUUAAAUAAAUUUGUAUACCGUCGUUAUAAGAAGAUUUUAAAAGAAUAUAAAUUUUUAAUAUUUUAUAUAAAAAAAUAUAUCAGAUCAAGGUGCAGUUUAUAAUUGAGAAGAAAUGGGCUACAAUAAAUUUAUUUAUUUAUACGGAUUAAAGUAUGUAUAUUAACUUUAUGAAGGUGGAUUUAAUAGUAAUAAAAUUGAUUUUAAUUUUAUGAUUUUAGCUCUAAAAUAUGUACAUAUCGCCCGUCGCUCUUAUUAUAAAAUAAGAUAAGUCGUAACAUAGUAGAUGUACUGGAAAGUGUAUCUAGAAUGAU
Molecule: non-coding RNA, 800 nt
Filed under: Carabus nemoralis
Lineage: Eukaryota; Metazoa; Arthropoda; Insecta; Coleoptera; Carabidae
Source: RNAcentral